GCAUCGCGACCCCAGGUCAGGCGGGAUUACCCGCUGAGUU
RNAcentral lists this ribosomal RNA (40 nucleotides) under Acer platanoides (Norway maple). RNAcentral describes it as "partial 25S ribosomal RNA". Lineage: Eukaryota; Viridiplantae; Streptophyta; Magnoliopsida; Sapindales; Sapindaceae. The record is from RNAcentral. RNAcentral also lists the same sequence under 9 other names.